AUUGAACGCUGGCGGAAUGCUUUACACAUGCAAGUCGAACGGCAGCACGGGAGCUUGCUCCUGGUGGCGAGUGGCGAACGGGUGAGUAAUGCGUCGGAACGUACCGAGUAAUGGGGGAUAACGCAGCGAAAGUUGUGCUAAUACCGCAUACGCCCUGAGGGGGAAAGUGGGGGACCGCAAGGACCUCACGUUAUUCGAGCGGCCGACGUCUGAUUAGCUAGUUGGUGGGGUAAAGGCCUACCAAGGCGACGAUCAGUAGCGGGUCUGAGAGGAUGAUCCGCCACACUGGGACUGAGACACGGCCCAGACUCCUACGGGAGGCAGCAGUGGGGAAUUUUGGACAAUGGGGGCAACCCUGAUCCAGCCAUUCCGCGUGAGUGAAGAAGGCCUUCGGGUUGUAAAGCUCUUUCAGCUGGAACGAAACGGUACGCGCUAACAUCGUGUGCUAAUGACGGUACCGGCAGAAGAAGCACCGGCUAACUACGUGCCAGCAGCCGCGGUAAUACGUAGGGUGCGAGCGUUAAUCGGAAUUACUGGGCGUAAAGCGUGCGCAGGCGGAUUGUUAAGCAAGAUGUGAAAUCCCCGGGCUUAACCUGGGAAUGGCAUUUUGAACUGGCAGUCUAGAGUGCGUCAGAGGGGGGUGGAAUUCCACGUGUAGCAGUGAAAUGCGUAGAGAUGUGGAGGAACACCGAUGGCGAAGGCAGCCCCCUGGGAUGACACUGACGCUCAUGUACGAAAGCGUGGGUAGC
RNAcentral lists this ribosomal RNA (749 nucleotides) under uncultured Thiobacillus sp. Its description in RNAcentral is "bacterial SSU rRNA". It matches the Rfam family "Bacterial small subunit ribosomal RNA", at positions 28 to 769 of the family's 1533-position model. Lineage: Bacteria; Pseudomonadati; Pseudomonadota; Betaproteobacteria; Nitrosomonadales; Thiobacillaceae. The record is from RNAcentral.